UCGAGAAGCUUCCACAAUGGGGGAAACCCUGAUGGAGCGACGCCGCGUGGGUGAUGAAGGUUUUCGGAUCGUAAAACCCUUUCGGCAGGGACGAUAGUGUAAGGUAAUAAUACCACCUUACAUCAGACGGUACCUGCAUAAGAAGCUCCGGCUAACUCCGUGCCAGCAGCCGCGGUAAUACGGGGGGAGCAAGCGUUGUUCGGAUUUACUGGGUGUAAAGGGCGUCUAGGCGGGCUUGUAAGUCAGAUGUGAAAUCCUUCGGCUCAACCGAAGAACUGCAUUUGAUACUACAAGUCUUGAGUUCGGAAGAGAGAAGCGGAAUUCCUGGUGUAGCGGUGAAAUGCGUAGAUAUCAGGAAGAACACCAGUGGCGAAGGCGGCUUCUUGGUCCGAUACUGACGCUAAAGCGCGAAAGUGUGGGGAGCGAACAGG
Molecule: ribosomal RNA, 431 nt
Filed under: uncultured bacterium
Lineage: Bacteria
Description: bacterial SSU rRNA
Rfam family: Bacterial small subunit ribosomal RNA
Source: RNAcentral